RNAcentral lists this small RNA (180 nucleotides) under Streptomyces mobaraensis. Its description in RNAcentral is "c-di-AMP sequence". It matches the Rfam family "c-di-AMP riboswitch aptamer (ydaO/yuaA leader)". From Rfam's summary of the family: This family represents a conserved RNA structure found upstream of the ydaO and yuaA genes in Bacillus subtilis and related genes in other bacteria. The record is from Rfam by way of RNAcentral. Lineage: Bacteria; Bacillati; Actinomycetota; Actinomycetes; Kitasatosporales; Streptomycetaceae.
GUCGCGCAAGCGCCGUAGGCAGGAGCGGGGGAACCACGGUAGGUCGCCGGAACGGUUCAUCGGUCAACGACCGACGUACCGGGACGGCUUGGGGUGAAGCCUGGUGAGCGCGAGCCACCGGGCCGGGCAACUCACGCCCGAACCCGACAGCUCACCUCGUAGGCGCCGGUGAGGAAACCG